AUUGAACGCUGGCGGAAUGCUUUACACAUGCAAGUCGAACGGCAGCACGGGGGCAACCCUGGUGGCGAGUGGCGAACGGGUGAGUAAUACAUCGGAACGUGCCCAGUCGUGGGGGAUAACGUGACGAAAGUUACGCUAAUACCGCAUACGAUCUACGGAUGAAAGCGGGGGACCGUAAGGCCUCGCGCGAUUGGAGCGGCAGGUGUCAGAUUCGGUAGUUGGUGAGGUAAAGGCUCACCAAGCCGACGAACUGUAGCUGGUCUGAGAGGACGACCAGCCACACUGGGACUGAGACACGGCCCAGACUCCUGCGGGAGGCAGCAGUGGGGAAUUUUGGACAAUGGGCGCAAGCCUGAUCCAGCCAUUCCGCGUGCAGGACGAAGGCCUUCGGGUUGUAAACUGCUUUUGUACGGAACGAAAAGGCUCUGGUUAAUACCUGGGGCUCAUGACGGUACCGUAAGAAUAAGCACCGGCUAACUACGUGCCAGCCGCCGCCGUAA
RNAcentral lists this ribosomal RNA (500 nucleotides) under uncultured bacterium. Its description in RNAcentral is "partial 16S ribosomal RNA". It matches the Rfam family "Bacterial small subunit ribosomal RNA", at positions 30 to 523 of the family's 1533-position model. The record is from RNAcentral.